RNAcentral lists this ribosomal RNA (568 nucleotides) under Clavaria zollingeri. RNAcentral describes it as "SSU rRNA". It matches the Rfam family "Bacterial small subunit ribosomal RNA", at positions 351 to 921 of the family's 1533-position model. The record is from RNAcentral. Lineage: Eukaryota; Fungi; Basidiomycota; Agaricomycetes; Agaricales; Clavariaceae.
GCCUUCAAGAAUAUUAUUCAAUGGGCGGAAGCYUGAACCAGCCAUGCCGCGUGCAGGAAGACGGCCCUACGGGUUGUAAACUGCUUUUGCASGGGAAUAAACCCCCAUACGUGUAUCSGGCUGAAUGUACUCUGAGAAUAAGGAUCGGCUAACUCCGUGCCAGCAGCCGCGGUAAUACGGAGGAUCCAAGCGUUAUCCGGAUUUAUUGGGUUUAAAGGGUGCGUAGGUGGCCUGUUAAGUCAGGGGUGAAAGACGGUAGCUUAACUAUCGCAGUGCCCUUGAUACUGWAGRGCUUGAAUGGACUAGAGGUAGGCGGAAUGUGACAGUAGCGGUGAAAUGCAUAGAUAUGUCACAGAACACCGAUUGCGAAGGCAGCUUACUAUGGUUUAUUGACACUGAGGCACGAAAGCGUGGGGAUCAAACAGGAUUAGAUACCCUGGUAGUCCACGCCCUAAACGAUGAAUACUCGAUGUUGGCGAUAUACGGUCAGCGUCUAAGCGAAAGCGUUAAGUAUUCCACCUGGGGAGUACGCCCGCAAGGGUGAAACUCAAAGGAAUUGACGGGGCCC